CACACCGCCCGUCACACCAUGGGAGUUUGUUGCACCAGAAGCAGGAAGCUUAACCGCAAGGGGGGCGCUUGCCACGGUGUGGCCGAUGACUGGGGUG
RNAcentral lists this ribosomal RNA (97 nucleotides) under uncultured bacterium. RNAcentral describes it as "partial 16S ribosomal RNA". It matches the Rfam family "Bacterial small subunit ribosomal RNA", at positions 1386 to 1482 of the family's 1533-position model. The record is from RNAcentral.